This 57-nucleotide transfer RNA is filed under the name Canis lupus familiaris (dog). It matches the Rfam family "tRNA", at positions 8 to 63 of the family's 71-position model. Rfam says of the family: Transfer RNA (tRNA) molecules are approximately 80 nucleotides in length. Lineage: Eukaryota; Metazoa; Chordata; Mammalia; Carnivora; Canidae. The record is from Rfam by way of RNAcentral. RNAcentral also lists the same sequence under 1 other name.
UGGCUCAGUCGCUAGAGCAUGAAACUCUUGAUUUCAGAGUUGUGAGUUCGAACCCAC